GUGAAAAUUGAGGUAUAUUUGAAGUGGGGUUUGAGUAGAAAAGGAUAAAGAGAGAUUUAUCAGGCAGCAAAGGCUUUGCCGCCGGUGAAAGAAUUUCGUAAAACGAAUAGCUAAGCAGUUAUCAGAACUCUCCACUUGAAGUUUGCUGCUUCCCGAGCUACUUUUUUUAUUGAUACUCAGAAAGACAUCAUGGCUGUUUGUGGUUCAAGGACUCAUAUUGGGCAUUUCGUUGGCAAUAUGACUGCUAGGCGCCUGCAGUGUAGUUUGUCAGUAAAGGGUUGUACUGUUUCUUACAACAAAAGAGGCUUACAAAAUGUUAGUAAAGCUAACAUCAAUUUGGGAAACAAAGGACGGCCCAACAACUUCAUGCUUUACCAAUAUUUGACGACUAAUGUUGCAAAGAGGAGGACUAACCUCAAUCCACACAAAGGCUUUGGAUUGGAAGGUUUUCGCAAUUUAUCCCACGAAUGUUUCUAUUCUGGAACUGCCUCUGCUUCUAAUGUGUCUUCUGAUAAUUCUAAGGGCACGGAACAAGUUGUUGACGUUGUUAAUUCUUCUGAAGCACAGAUCCCCUUGCAGCUAAACUCGGGAUCUUUUUACCUACCUCAUCCUGCUAAAGCAAAAACUGGUGGAGAGGAUGCUCAUUUU
This 648-nucleotide unclassified non-coding RNA is filed under the name Hevea brasiliensis (rubber tree). The record is from RNAcentral. Lineage: Eukaryota; Viridiplantae; Streptophyta; Magnoliopsida; Malpighiales; Euphorbiaceae.